This 253-nucleotide ribosomal RNA is filed under the name uncultured bacterium. RNAcentral describes it as "partial 16S ribosomal RNA". It matches the Rfam family "Bacterial small subunit ribosomal RNA", at positions 524 to 776 of the family's 1533-position model. The record is from RNAcentral.
UACGAGGGGUGCAAGCGUUGCUCGGAAUUAUUGGGCGUAAAGGGUAGGUAGGUGGUCUCAUUUGUCUGGGGUGAAAGCCUUGAGCUUAACUCAAGAAGUGCCCCGGAAACGGUGAGACUGGAGUCCUGGAGAGGGUCGUGGAAUUCCCGGUGUAGCGGUGAAAUGCGUAGAUACUGGGAGGAACACCAGUGGCGAAGGCGGCUACCUGGACCGGUUCUGACGCUGAGGCGCGAAAGCGUGGGUAGCAAACAGG